This 207-nucleotide ribosomal RNA is filed under the name uncultured bacterium. Its description in RNAcentral is "partial 16S ribosomal RNA". It matches the Rfam family "Bacterial small subunit ribosomal RNA", at positions 568 to 774 of the family's 1533-position model. The record is from RNAcentral.
CACGUAGGCGGACAUUUAAGUCAGGGGUGAAAGCCUGGAGCUCAACUCCAGAACUGCCCUUGAUACUGGGUGUCUCGAGUCCGGAAGAGGUAAGUGGAACUGCGAGUGUAGAGGUGAAAUUCGUAGAUAUUCGCAAGAACACCAGUGGCGAAGGCGGCUUACUGGUCCGGUACUGACGCUGAGGUGCGAAAGCGUGGGGAGCAAACA